GGGGAGCAAACAGGAUUAGAUACCCUGGUAGUCCACGCUGUAAACGAUGAGUACUCGUUGUAGGGGGUUACCCCCUUCGGUGCCGCAGCUAACGCACUAAGUACUCCGACUUGGAAGUACGCUCUCACGAGUGAAACUCAAAGCAAUUGACGUGGACCCGCACAAGUAGCGGAGCAUGUGGUUUAAUUCGAAGCAACGCGAAG
RNAcentral lists this ribosomal RNA (203 nucleotides) under Clostridioides difficile. Its description in RNAcentral is "partial 16S ribosomal RNA". It matches the Rfam family "Bacterial small subunit ribosomal RNA", at positions 763 to 966 of the family's 1533-position model. Lineage: Bacteria; Bacillati; Bacillota; Clostridia; Peptostreptococcales; Peptostreptococcaceae. The record is from RNAcentral.